This 445-nucleotide long non-coding RNA is filed under the name Panax ginseng (ginseng). RNAcentral's name for it is "long non-coding RNA (PGIN_LNC001652)". Lineage: Eukaryota; Viridiplantae; Streptophyta; Magnoliopsida; Apiales; Araliaceae. The record is from RNAcentral.
AAGGGGUUUGACUGUUAUGGCUCUCCAUCUUCUUCUCCCCCAUUAAUAUCUUCGUUAGCGUAAUGGAUCUGUGUAUUUUUGAUUUUUUCUUCAUGGGUUUGAGCAAAACAAUUUGGAUUUGUGAUUUGGGGGUUCUGAAUUUGUUCAAUAAUAAAUAAAUGGUAAUUUGUUUGCGUCUCUUCUUCUGCCUGCUUUCAAUUUGUUUCUCUUCUGUCGGCUUGCAAUAGGGUCUCUUCUUUUGCCUGCUUGCAAAAUUGCAAUUGCUUGCAUCAUUAAUUUGUUCGUGGUAUGUCUAUACUCUAUUUGGUUUUUUGGAUUUUGGACGGAUGGAUUGAUAAUUUGUUGAGCACUGUCUAUUUGGAUUGUUGCCAGCCCAUCGGCAGAUAUGCCUUCACAUAAUUUAUUAUGUCUACUUGGAUUGUUGUCCACUGCCCUGUCUUGGUGC